GUCCAGUUCUAACUGUUGCUUCCUGACCUGCAUAUAGGAUUCUCAAGAGGGGAGAAAUUAAUGUCUCUAGCAAGGCAAAUUCCCAGGAGGCUCAAGUCACGUCCACUUUUCUCAGUUUUCCAUGGGAUCCUGUGCAGAUACUGAGUUGACUUUGGCAGAGAAAAGGAGCUUGAAUCUGUCUUCUAUAAUUCAGAAUUUCUGUAACUAGCCAUGUGGAGUGUCUUGUGCAAUCUUGGAGUAACUAGUGUUUCCCCAGAAUUCACUGAAGGCACCAGAUUGUAGCCUUCCUUAUAUGAGAACCCAUGAAACCCUGAAGGACUUUUUGUCCCAGCCAUUGUUCAUACCUUUUCAUUGGAACAGAAUAAAUAAAAUUGGAACAGAUGAAUAUUUGAUACCAGAGAGGGAAAGGGAGGGAGAGCUAUGAAAGUUUGAAAAGAUACGUUAAAAGUAAAAGUGACUUAAAUGAAGGUAUAGACUACGCCUGUGGGAUAGAUUUCUGUGACUGUGUAUUUGUUCCUCUCAGUAGUUAUUGCCUUUGAGCAAUUGUUGAAAGUAGUCAGAUGUUCUCUCUCUAGUGUAACUAUUGGGCUUUGAUUAAAUUAAAUUGAUUGUAAAGUUCUCUCUUAGGUCUGAGGAUGGUCAGGAAAGCUGUGCAGCCUGAGCUGGGAGCUGGCAUGCAAUCUAGUUCUGUACUUGGUCAUCAAUGCCUUUCUCUUAGUGUUUUUAAAAAAUCUCUCUUGACAGAGUUUUUAUUGUAUAACCGGAAUAUUCCUGGAGUCCCAUCUGGCUCAGUAUUUGCAUGAUGUUGGCUUUCUUCUCUGAACCCAAUGAUGGAGAUGUCACAGGAAAAACAGACAGGGACGCAGCAGCAUCAAGCAGAAGUGGCAGGGCGGUGCCAGGGCAACCCCAGAAACAAAGUUCCAUUGCUAUCACGAAGGCUGUUUUUUCCUCCUCUACUAUGUUUUCUGAUUGUUACUAAAGGAACACAAUGAGACCUCUUUGGUGGAUUAUUAAAAAAAAAUGAAGAAUAGUUUAUACACGAUAAAAUGCACAGAUCUUAAGUGUUCAGCUUGGUAGGUGUGAUAAUUGUUUGCCUCUGUAUAACCACCCGCACAAACCAUAG
This 1123-nucleotide long non-coding RNA is filed under the name Capra hircus (goat). Its description in RNAcentral is "lncRNA (ENSCHIG00010010046.1)". The record is from RNAcentral. Lineage: Eukaryota; Metazoa; Chordata; Mammalia; Artiodactyla; Bovidae.